This 426-nucleotide ribosomal RNA is filed under the name uncultured Thiobacillus sp. RNAcentral describes it as "bacterial SSU rRNA". It matches the Rfam family "Bacterial small subunit ribosomal RNA", at positions 356 to 774 of the family's 1533-position model. The record is from RNAcentral. Lineage: Bacteria; Pseudomonadati; Pseudomonadota; Betaproteobacteria; Nitrosomonadales; Thiobacillaceae.
GGGGAAUUUUGGACAAUGGGGGCAACCCUGAUCCAGCCAUUCCGCGUGAGUGAAGAAGGCCUUCGGGUUGUAAAGCUCUUUCAGCUGGAACGAAACGGUACGCUCUAACAUAGCGUGCUAAUGACGGUACCGGCAGAAGAAGCACCGGCUAACUACGUGCCAGCAGCCGCGGUAAUACGUAGGGUGCGAGCGUUAAUCGGAAUUACUGGGCGUAAAGCGUGCGCAGGCGGAUUGUUAAGCAAGAUGUGAAAUCCCCGGGCUUAACCUGGGAAUGGCAUUUUGAACUGGCAGUCUAGAGUGCGUCAGAGGGGGGUGGAAUUCCACGUGUAGCAGUGAAAUGCGUAGAGAUGUGGAGGAACACCAAUGGCGAAGGCAGCCCCCUGGGAUGACACUGACGCUCAUGUACGAAAGCGUGGGUAGCAAACA